AUGGCGCUGGACCCCCCUGUCUGGCUGAUCAAAAGAAUAAACAAGCUGCUCCGUGGGUUCCUGUGGGCACAAGAUCAAAAUGCAGCGGCCAAGAAGUGCUUGGUGAACUGGCCAUCUGUUUGUCGCCCCAAGGAGUUUGGUGGCCUUGGCAUCAUGGAUAUAGCACGUCAAGGCAGAGUGCUCAGAUGCCGUUGGCAUUGGUUGCAAUGGACGGACCAAACCAAGCCAUGGCAGGGCAUACCUCUUCUGCCAGAUAGGGCGGCCGAGGAGUUAUUCAGAUCCUCAACCACCAUUAUAAUCGAAGAUGGCAGACUCACCUCUUUCUGGGACUCGCAUUGGUCCAAUAGGCUCCGCCCCGUCGACCGAUGGCCGGAGGUGAUCCACCAUUGCACAAAACGUCGGAUUUGUUUGCGCGAUGCACUCACCGAAAACAGAUGGAUGUGA
RNAcentral lists this ribosomal RNA (444 nucleotides) under Triticum aestivum (bread wheat). RNAcentral's name for it is "partial small subunit ribosomal RNA". The record is from RNAcentral. Lineage: Eukaryota; Viridiplantae; Streptophyta; Magnoliopsida; Poales; Poaceae.